AAGUUUGAUCAUGGCUCAGAAUCAACGCUGGCGGCGUGCCUCAGACAUGCAAGUCGAACGAUUAAGACUUCCUUCGGGAAGUGCAUAAAGUGGCGCACGGGUGAGUAACACGUAAGUAAUCUACCCUCGAGUGGGGAAUAACGUUCGGAAACGGACGCUAAUACCGCAUAACGCAGCGGCACCGCAAGGUGACAGUUGUUAGAGGAGCAAUCCGCUUGAGGAGGAGCUUGCGGCAGAUUAGCUAGUUGGUAGGGUAAUGGCUUACCAAGGCUACGAUCUGUAUCCGGUCUAAGAGGACGGUCGGACACACUGACACUGAAUAACGGGUCAGACUCCUACGGGAGGCAGCAGUCGGGAAUUUUGGGCAAUGGGCGAAAGCCUGACCCAGCAACGCCGCGUGAAGGAUGAAGUAUUUCGGUAUGUAAACUUCGAAAGAAUAGGAAGAAUAAAUGACGGUACUAUUUAUAAGCUCCGGCUAACUACGUG
Molecule: ribosomal RNA, 486 nt
Filed under: uncultured bacterium
Lineage: Bacteria
Description: bacterial SSU rRNA
Rfam family: Bacterial small subunit ribosomal RNA
Source: RNAcentral